RNAcentral lists this ribosomal RNA (542 nucleotides) under Klebsiella pneumoniae. RNAcentral's name for it is "partial 23S ribosomal RNA". It matches the Rfam family "Bacterial large subunit ribosomal RNA", at positions 398 to 943 of the family's 2925-position model. RNAcentral also lists the same sequence under 1 other name. The record is from RNAcentral. Lineage: Bacteria; Pseudomonadati; Pseudomonadota; Gammaproteobacteria; Enterobacterales; Enterobacteriaceae.
UGUGAACUCGAAGAGUAGGGCGGGACACGUGGUAUCCUGUCUGAAUAUGGGGGGACCAUCCUCCAAGGCUAAAUACUCCUGACUGACCGAUAGUGAACCAGUACCGUGAGGGAAAGGCGAAAAGAACCCCGGCGAGGGGAGUGAAAAAGAACCUGAAACCGUGUACGUACAAGCAGUGGGAGCACCUUCGGGUGUGACUGCGUACCUUUUGUAUAAUGGGUCAGCGACUUAUAUUCUGUAGCAAGGUUAACCGUAUAGGGGAGCCGCAGGGAAACCGAGUCUUAACUGGGCGUUAAGUUGCAGGGUAUAGACCCGAAACCCGGUGAUCUAGCCAUGGGCAGGUUGAAGGUUGGGUAACACUAACUGGAGGACCGAACCGACUAAUGUUGAAAAAUUAGCGGAUGACUUGUGGCUGGGGGUGAAAGGCCAAUCAAACCGGGAGAUAGCUGGUUCUCCCCGAAAGCUAUUUAGGUAGCGCCUCGUGAAUUCAUCUUCGGGGGUAGAGCACUGUUUCGGCUAGGGGGUCAUCCCGACUUACCAAC